RNAcentral lists this non-coding RNA (24 nucleotides) under Drosophila melanogaster (fruit fly). The record is from RNAcentral. Lineage: Eukaryota; Metazoa; Arthropoda; Insecta; Diptera; Drosophilidae.
UAGAGCCUACAUCUGACUUAACGA